This 202-nucleotide unclassified non-coding RNA is filed under the name air metagenome. Its description in RNAcentral is "partial contains small subunit ribosomal RNA and internal transcribed spacer 1". The stretch from base 1 to 46 matches the Rfam family "Eukaryotic small subunit ribosomal RNA", at positions 1786 to 1831 of the family's 1831-position model. The record is from RNAcentral.
AAGUCGUAACAAGGUCUCCGUUGGUGAACCAGCGGAGGGAUCAUUAAAAAACGGUCGAAAGACUCAAAACCUACCGUGCUCCCUACGUGGAAAAACAUCGCGAGCCCCCCGGGGCAUGAGAAAUCUGAGAAGUUGAGAACUGCGCCCCGGCGCAUGACUAAGCAAAGAAUUACAACCCAUAACAAUGGAUCUCUUGGCUCUG